RNAcentral lists this long non-coding RNA (505 nucleotides) under Olea europaea subsp. europaea. Lineage: Eukaryota; Viridiplantae; Streptophyta; Magnoliopsida; Lamiales; Oleaceae. The record is from RNAcentral.
UUUCCCUUCAACUCGAAAUUUCAUUUUCCCCCAAAUGGUGAAAUUGUGAAAGCUGAAAGAGUGAAAGGCGAUUGGCAGCAAUACAGAAUCCUUCAAGAAUUCGCUGCUCCCGAUUUCUGAUUCCGCCUCCGCUUCCAAAGGUAGCAAGAAAAGCCCCACCAUGACAAAGAAAGGUGCCUUUGCUGCCAUUUCUUACAUGGCUUGUGCUGAUUAGUUACAACUUUCUUUUCUUCUCCAGGAUUACCAGUUUAUGACAUGUAAUCUGUGUUCUUUUCCAACUUAAAUCUGUGUUUUCCAGCUUAAAUUUGGGUUUUCAUUUUAGUGUAUGUGAUAGUGUUAAGAGUUCCUGAAGGCCAAGGUGUUAUUUGAAGUAAUAUUUAUUUAUUUAUUUCUUACUUUUGUACCAGGAUGACAGAAAUACACACUUUUCUUCCAAAUAAUAUUUGUCUCAGUAUUAUGUUAUGUCUUACUUUUAUGAUUAUCACUAACAAUUUUCGUCAUUAAA